Molecule: transfer RNA, 73 nt
Filed under: Ictidomys tridecemlineatus (thirteen-lined ground squirrel)
Lineage: Eukaryota; Metazoa; Chordata; Mammalia; Rodentia; Sciuridae
Description: Spermophilus tridecemlineatus (thirteen-lined ground squirrel) tRNA
Rfam family: tRNA
About the family: Transfer RNA (tRNA) molecules are approximately 80 nucleotides in length. Their secondary structure includes four short double-helical elements and three loops (D, anti-codon, and T loops).
Source: Rfam by way of RNAcentral
GGGGAUGUAGCUCAGUUGGUAGAGUGCUUGCCUUGCAUGCAGAAGGCCCUGGGUUCAAUCUCUAGCACCAUUU